This 440-nucleotide ribosomal RNA is filed under the name uncultured bacterium. Its description in RNAcentral is "partial 16S ribosomal RNA". It matches the Rfam family "Bacterial small subunit ribosomal RNA", at positions 338 to 795 of the family's 1533-position model. The record is from RNAcentral.
CCUACGGGUGGCAGCAGUGGGGAAUAUUGCACAAUGGGGGAAACCCUGAUGCAGCGACGCCGCGUGAGUGAAGAAGUAAUUCGUUAUGUAAAGCUCUAUCAGCAGGGAAGAAAAUGACGGUACCUGAGUAAGAAGCCCCGGCUAACUACGUGCCAGCAGCCGCGGUAAUACGUAGGGGGCAAGCGUUAUCCGGAUUUACUGGGUGUAACGGGAGCGUAGACGGCGCUGCAAGUCCGGAGUGAAAGCCCAUGGCUUAACCAUGGUACUGCUCUGGAAACUGUGGAGCUUGAGUGCGGGAGGGGCAGGCGGAAUGCCUGGUGUAGCGGUGAAAUGCGUAGAUAUUAGGAGGAACACCGGCGGCGAAGGCGGCCUGCUGGACCGUAACUGACGUUGAGGCUCGAAAGCGUGGGGAGCGAACAGGAUUAGAUACCCGGGUAGUC